GGGCCCGUGGCCUAGCACGGACAUGGCGCCGGCCUCCUAAGCCGGGGGUCGUGGGUUCGAGUCCCACCGGGCCCG
Molecule: transfer RNA, 75 nt
Filed under: Nitrososphaeria archaeon
Lineage: Archaea; Thermoproteati; Nitrososphaerota; Nitrososphaeria
Description: tRNA-Arg
Rfam family: tRNA
About the family: Transfer RNA (tRNA) molecules are approximately 80 nucleotides in length. Their secondary structure includes four short double-helical elements and three loops (D, anti-codon, and T loops).
Source: RNAcentral